AUUCCAGCUCCAAUAGCGUAUAUUAAAGUUGUUGCAGUUAAAAAGCUCGUAGUUGGAUUUCUGGACGGAGCGACCGGUCUGCCGUUUAUACGGUGUGUACUUGUGUUCGACUCUGUCCAUCCUCUGGGAGAGCGCGUCUGGCAUUCAGUUGUCGGGCGCGGGAUCCUCGUCAUUUACUGUGAGCAAAAUAGAGUGUUCAAAGCAGGCUUAGGCCGUUGAAUACAUUAGCAUGGAAUAAUAAGAUAGGACCUUGGUCUAUUUUGUUGGUUUGCAUUCCAAGGUAAUGAUUAAUAGGGAUAGUUGGGGGUAUUCGUAUUCAAUUGUCAGAGGUGAAAUUCUUGGAUUUAUGGAAGACGAACUACUGCGAAAGCAUUUACCAAGGAUGUUUUCAUUA
Molecule: ribosomal RNA, 394 nt
Filed under: Ochrophyta sp.
Lineage: Eukaryota
Description: partial small subunit ribosomal RNA
Rfam family: Eukaryotic small subunit ribosomal RNA
Source: RNAcentral